GGCAUCUAUGAAGUUAUGUCUGAGUCUAUCAAGAUAAUAUCCCAGACAGACCCCACUCGAGUGGCUACCCUCAUAGUGUUAUGGCCUUGUAAACUAGUAAUAGCAUGUAAGAAGAUAAUGGGAGACUUAGGUGGGCUCUUAUUACAGGAAGCCUCUUCCAAUUGGUUAGAGCACUCCUGAAGGUCCUUCACCUCACUAUCAGACAUAGGCUCAAGCAAAAAUUGAUACAUUUGAGACUUAACACACUUGUUUCCCACAUGGUACUUAGCUUCAUACCAAAAGUAAAGACCCUUUUAUUUACGUUCAGCCAUCACAGUAGGUGAGAUGGUCUUGGAGGUUGACUUACUAGCAGGAACACUAGACAUAGAUGGCAUCUGAGAAGUAGGAACAGAUCUCAUAGGUGCUGAGGAAUGGCUCGAUACAACAGAGGGAUUGAAAAAGGAUCUAGGUAAGCUGUUAGAGGAACCAAGGUCCUCUUGGGAGAAUGUGAAAGAAUUCCCUCAACUUUCCUAGCCAAUGAGAACCCUACUAUCAAAGAUGAUGGUUGAAAAAAUUUGAGGUAUUGGCCAAUCUCAAGCUUCAAGUUACUCAUAAAAAUACUAAGAGCAUACAGUUCAGAAAGAUGCAAUUGGUUAAUUAAGCUAACAAAAAAAUCGUGAUACUGUUCAACCAUACCUUACUACUUCAAACUAACCAAUUCAUUUAUAAGAUCACAAAAGAAACUGGAUCCAAACUACUCAUGUAAGCUUCGAGCAUAGACUGGCCAAGUUAACAUAUGUAGGCCACCAUUCCUUUGGGAGUAGAAAUUGUGCUAGUCCAGAGGUCGAACCUUCAAAUUCAACAUCACUGUACGAACCUUGGUUGUCUCAGGGAUUCCCUUAGCUUCAAAGAAUUGUUCCAACUUAGCCCACCAUCCUCUGAAAUCAGUGCCAUUGAAUUUUGGGCACUCGAGCCUAGUAGGUCUGCUAGAUCCAUCAACCACAGGGGAAUGAUUUUGCAAAUGAAUACUACUCAUAUCAGCAAGUGGACGAGUAAUUACCCCAGCUAGAACUUGACCAGGGAUUGGAGCAACAAAAUCUUUAGGAGUAAAGCAUGGAGGUGCUCCCCUCAUAACUCCUUUCCUCUUGCCAGUAACUCUAAAUUAAGUGGCCCAAAAUAUUUUCCAAGCAAAUUUUGAAGAUCCCCUUUAAACUCAUAUUUGGACUCUUGAAACUUGGUGUCUAUCUUAGUGUCAAAUUGAACCAACUCCUCUUGGAUCUUAGAGAUCUCCUGCUACAUCACACUGACCUUUUUUUGCAAAUGGGUGGAUACGCCAUCACCAGCCAUGGAUGGGAUCGUAAAAGCUCUGAUACAUUUGAUACGACCUAGAAAACUGAAGGAAAAUAACAGAAAAGAGCAUAAGGAAAUAAGAAGAAAAGAAGAGAAGAAAACUUUUACUGAAAUUUUCUUUGUUCACAUAUCUGAUAACCACCCACCCCUUACAGCUAAAGCUUAAAAAGAAAGAGAAAAAAGUCGUGGAAAAAGUUAGUUACAAUUGCUAGCUAAGUUCGUUAUCAC
This 1557-nucleotide long non-coding RNA is filed under the name Gossypium barbadense (sea-island cotton). Its description in RNAcentral is "long non-coding RNA (GBAR_LNC020982)". The record is from RNAcentral. Lineage: Eukaryota; Viridiplantae; Streptophyta; Magnoliopsida; Malvales; Malvaceae.